Molecule: ribosomal RNA, 913 nt
Filed under: uncultured archaeon
Lineage: Archaea
Description: bacterial SSU rRNA
Rfam family: Archaeal small subunit ribosomal RNA
Source: RNAcentral
UCCGGUUGAUCCCGCCGGAGGUUACUGCUAUCGAGGUUCGACUAAGCCAUGCGAGUCGAAUGUAGCAAUACAUGGCGUACUGCUCAGUAACACGUGGACAACCUACCCUUGAGACGGGGAUAAACCCGGGAAACUGGGUAUAAUACCCGAUAGAUCUCGACUGCUGGAAUGCAUCGAGCUCCAAAGCUCCGGCGCUCAAGGAUGGGUCUGCGGCCUAUCAGGUAGUAGUGGGUGUAGCGUACCUACUAGCCUACGACGGGUACGGGUUGUGAGAGCAAGAGCCCGGAGAUGGAUUCUGAGACACGAAUCCAGGCCCUACGGGGUGCAGCAGGCGCGAAAACUUUACAAUGCUGGAAACAGCGAUAAGGGGACCUCGAGUGCCAGGUUACAAAUCUGGCUGUCGUGAUGCCUAAAAAGCAUUGCAUAGCAAGGGCCGGGCAAGACCGGUGCCAGCCGCCGCGGUAACACCGGCGGCUCGAGUGGUAACCGUUAUUAUUGGGUCUAAAGGGUCUGUAGCCGGCCGGAUAAGUCUCUUGGGAAAUCUGGCAGCUUAACUGUCAGGCUUUCAGGAGAUACUGUCUGGCUCGAGGCCGGGAGAGGUGAGAGGUACUUCAGGGGUAGGGGUGAAAUCUUGUAAUCCUUGAAGGACCACCGGUGGCGAAGGCGUCUCACCAGAACGGACCUGACGGCAAGGGACGAAAGCUAGGGGCACGAACCGGAUUAGAUACCCGGGUAGUCCUAGCCGUAAACGAUACUCGCUAGGUGUCGGCCACGGUGCGACCGUUGUCGGUGCCGUAGGGAAGCCGUGAAGCGAGCCACCUGGGAAGUACGGCCGCAAGGCUGAAACUUAAAGGAAUUGGCGGGGGAGCACCACAACGGGUGGAGCUUGCGGUUUAAUUGGAGUCAACGCCGG